RNAcentral lists this ribosomal RNA (252 nucleotides) under uncultured bacterium. Its description in RNAcentral is "partial 16S ribosomal RNA". It matches the Rfam family "Bacterial small subunit ribosomal RNA", at positions 524 to 776 of the family's 1533-position model. The record is from RNAcentral.
UACGAAGGGGGCUAGCGUUGCUCGGAAUCACUGGGCGUAAAGGGUGCGUAGGUGGCGGGGUAAGUCUGGUGUGAAAGCUCCGAGCUCAACUCGGAAAAGCAUUGGAAACUAUCCCGCUGGAGGGUCGGAGGGGAGACUGGAAUUCUCGGUGUAGCAGUGAAAUGCGUAGAUAUCGAGAGGAACACCAGUGGCGAAGGCGAGUCUCUGGACGACUCCUGACACUGAGGCACGAAAGCUAGGGGAGCAAACAGG